Molecule: small RNA, 513 nt
Filed under: Oryza sativa Japonica Group (Japanese rice)
Lineage: Eukaryota; Viridiplantae; Streptophyta; Magnoliopsida; Poales; Poaceae
Description: sRNA Os03g0762150
Source: RNAcentral
UGAAUCUUACGUGGCCAUGCAUAUGCAUGGCCACCUUUCAGGUUUCAGCUCUUCUUUUCUUGUAAGCGCACUUAGGGCUUGGCUAACUUGCCCUACAUGGCCUGUGGGAGUAACAACGUGACAUGAUGGUUGAAGCUGAAAAGGCACUUUUUGUUAGUCUAGUAACACACAAUUUGUCUGGCUCAAAACACUUUUGUUUUGUGCUAAACUGCUAAUGCCACUAGCUCCCAAUUGCCAUUAGAUAGAAAUUAGGAAUGUACCUCAGGUGUGAGGACUGAGGAGCAAUGGCAGAAUGGCUAGAUGCUGGACCACUUUGGUUGCUUGGCCCCCAUGAAGCACUGACCGGAUACUAGAUAACCCUUGCCCCAAAUCAUGCAUGAUAAUGACCACUGAAUGGUCCAUGGAAAAUUUGUACACCCACUUACUGGUCAUGGAGCCACAAAAUGUCACAGAAGUGUUUCUUUCACCAUCAUGAACAAUGCUUGAUCACCUUUAAAGCAGCCAAAUGCUGUC